This is a long non-coding RNA of Leucoraja erinaceus (little skate), 91 nucleotides long. RefSeq lists it as uncharacterized. Lineage: Eukaryota; Metazoa; Chordata; Chondrichthyes; Rajiformes; Rajidae. The transcript is spliced from 3 exons. The record is from RefSeq and is a predicted model, not a curated record.
GAAUUAAGCGAGUACCAAGAUACGCAGGAAAAUUUAGAGCAAAAGCUUAAAACAAGGGAUGAAGAGAUCGCCGAGUUGCAGCAUAAAAACA